This 497-nucleotide ribosomal RNA is filed under the name uncultured bacterium. Its description in RNAcentral is "partial 16S ribosomal RNA". It matches the Rfam family "Bacterial small subunit ribosomal RNA", at positions 28 to 507 of the family's 1533-position model. The record is from RNAcentral.
GAUGAACGCUGGCGGCGUGCCUAAUACAUGCAAGUCGAGCGAACGGACGAGAAGCUUGCUUCUCUGAUGUUAGCGGCGGACGGGUGAGUAACACGUGGAUAACCUACCUAUAAGACUGGUAUAACUUCGGGAAACCGUAUCUAAUACCGGAUAAUAUUUUGAACCGCAUGGUUCAAUAGUGAAAUACGGUCUUGCUGUCACUUAUAGAUGGAUCCGCGCUGCAUUAGCUAGUUGGUAAGGUAACGGCUUACCAAGGCAACGAUGCAUAGCCGACCUGAGAGGGUGAUCGGCCACACUGGAACUGAGACACGGUCCAGACUCCUACGGGAGGCAGCAGUAGGGAAUCUUCCGCAAUGGGCGAGAGCCUGACGGAGCAACGCCGCGUGAGUGAUGAAGGUCUUCGGAUCGUAAAACUCUGUUAUUAGGGAAGAACAUAUGUGGAAGUAACUGUGCACAUCUUGACGGUACCUAAUCAGAAAGCCACGGCUAACUACGUG